CAGUAGCCGCGGUAAUACGAAGGGUGCAAGCGUUAAUCGGAAUUACUGGGCGUAAAGCGUGCGUAGGCGGUUUGUUAAGUCUGCUGUGAAAUCCCCGGGCUCAACCUGGGAAUGGCAGUGGAUACUGGCAAGCUAGAGUGUGUCAGAGGAUGGUGGAAUUCCCGGUGUAGCGGUGAAAUGCGUAGAGAUCGGGAGGAACAUCAGUGGCGAAGGCGACUAUCUGGGCCAACACUGACACUGAGGCACGAAAGCGUGGGGAGCAAACAGGAUUAGAUACCCGCGUAGUCCCUGUCUCUUAUAC
This 301-nucleotide ribosomal RNA is filed under the name uncultured bacterium. RNAcentral describes it as "partial 16S ribosomal RNA". It matches the Rfam family "Bacterial small subunit ribosomal RNA", at positions 509 to 807 of the family's 1533-position model. The record is from RNAcentral.